GAUGAACGCUGGCGGCGUGCCUAAUACAUGCAAGUCGAGCGAACAGACGAGGAGCUUGCUCCUCUGCCGUUAGCGGCGGACGGGUGAGUAACACGUGGAUAACCUACAUCUAAGACUGGGUUAACUUCGGACCACCGGAGCUAAUACCGGAUAAUAUAUUGAACCGCAUGGUUCAAUAGUGAAAGACGGUUUUGCUGUCACUUAUAGAUGGAUCCGCGCCGCAUUAGCUAGUUGGUAAGGUAACGGCUUACCACGGCAACGAUGCGUAGCCGACCUGAGAGGGUAGACGCGCACACUGUAACUGAGACACGGUCCAGACUCCUACGGGAGGCAGCAGUAGGGAAUCUUCCGCAAGGGGCGAAAGCCUGACGGAGCAACGCCGCGUGAGUGAUGAAGGUCUUCGGAUCGGAAAACUCUGUUAUUAGGGAAGAACAAAUGUGUAAGUAACUAGGCACGUCUUGACGGUACCGAAUCAGAAAGCCACGGCUAACUACGUG
Molecule: ribosomal RNA, 497 nt
Filed under: uncultured bacterium
Lineage: Bacteria
Description: partial 16S ribosomal RNA
Rfam family: Bacterial small subunit ribosomal RNA
Source: RNAcentral